CUGCUGCCUUCCGUAGGAGUCUGGGCCGUGUCUCAGUUCCAGUGUGGGGGGCCUUCCUCUCAGAACCCCUACGCAUCGUCGCCACGGUGGGCCGUUACCCCGCCGUCAAGCUAAUGCGCCGCAUGCCCAGCCGCCACCGGAUUCCUCCUUUCGCCCGGACCGGAUGCCCGGUCCGGGCGGCAUGGGGUAUUAGGCCGGGUUUCCCCGGGUUAUCCCCCUGUGGCGGGCAGGUUCCAUACGUGUUACUCACCCGUGCGCCGGUCGCCGGCAGGUGCAGG
This 278-nucleotide ribosomal RNA is filed under the name uncultured bacterium. RNAcentral describes it as "partial 16S ribosomal RNA". The record is from RNAcentral.